This 406-nucleotide ribosomal RNA is filed under the name uncultured bacterium. RNAcentral describes it as "partial 16S ribosomal RNA". It matches the Rfam family "Bacterial small subunit ribosomal RNA", at positions 28 to 526 of the family's 1533-position model. The record is from RNAcentral.
GACGAACGCUGGCGGCGUGCCUAAUACAUGCAAGUCGAACGAGUGGCGGACGGGUGAGUAACACGUGGGAAUCUACCCGUCAGAGGGGGAUAACACUUGGAAACAGGUGCUAAUACCGCCAACUGAUGGAUGGACCCGCGGUGCAUUAGCUAGUUGGUGGGGUAACGGCUCACCAAGGCCACGAUCCCUAGCUGGUCUGAGAGGAUGACCAGCCAAACUGGAACUGAGACACGGUCCAGACUCCUACGGGAGGCAGCAGUGGGGAAUAUUGCACAAUGGGCGCAAGCCUGAUGCAGCCAUGCCGCGUGUGUGAAGAAGGCCUUCGGGUUGUAAAGCACUUUCAGCGGGGAGGCGUUACCCGCAGAAGAAGCACCGGCUAACUCCGUGCCAGCAGCCGCGGUAAUAC